RNAcentral lists this ribosomal RNA (227 nucleotides) under uncultured Bacteroidaceae bacterium. RNAcentral's name for it is "partial 16S ribosomal RNA". It matches the Rfam family "Bacterial small subunit ribosomal RNA", at positions 383 to 607 of the family's 1533-position model. Lineage: Bacteria; Pseudomonadati; Bacteroidota; Bacteroidia; Bacteroidales; Bacteroidaceae. The record is from RNAcentral.
CUGAACCAGCCAAGUAGCGUGAAGGAUGACUGCCCUAUGGGUUGUAAACUUCUUUUAUAUGGGAAUAAAGUUUUCCACGUGUGAAAUUUUGUAUGUACCAUAUGAAUAAGGAUCGGCUAACUCCGUGCCAGCAGCCGCGGUAAUACGGAGGAUCCGAGCCUUAUCCGGAUUUAUUGGGUUUAAAGGGAGCGUAGGUGGACAGUUAAGUCAGUUGUGAAAGUUUGCGG